AUUUUUUAAACAUAAAUAGUUAUUUAAAAUGAAAUACGAUAAAUAAAGAUAAAAUUUUUAAGUCUUUCAUAAAAUAAAACACAAAUAUAUGAAAAUGUGACAUUUAAUAAAUAUUUGUCAAUUGAGAAAAAAAAACAAAAAUAAAUCUGCGCUUUGAAAGCGCUGGUCAAAAUCUAGUUACUUAAUUAAUCCGGGAGUUGGACACUUUAAUCCCCUUAAAUAAACGAUUAUCUAAUUGAAAAGAAAAAUCAAAUAAAAUUUCCGCAUUAUACGUAAAGGCGAGACACGCACUUUGCUUCUCAUAAUUUGUUCGUGACAUCUACUUUACAUAACCUAACCUAACCUAAUCCCGCUUUCUGUAAUUAUUUGUUUAAGUUAUUUUCUACAGUUAACGAACACAUCAUUUUAGAGUUUUUCUUUUAAUAAAAACACAGUUUAAUAUUUUGUAUUACACUUAUACACCAUGUUCAAAAACUCGGCCACCCAGCUGAUUAAUCGACAGAUUAAGCGUGAAACGGUAGGUGACCAUGGCGAAUAUUAGAAUAACUAUGUUAUUAAGAUAAUGAUAACUUCUUGUAUUAGAGAUAAGUCCUACAUUUGAUAAAGAUGACCUAUGUAUAUCGUCUCCUAUGAUCUCUCCCUGUAAACUCUAUAUAUAGAAUACAUAUUAUGAUCAAGGAACCAAGUCCCAUGUAUGGUUGGUUAUUGCUGCAUUGAACUCUGUACAUGCUGAUUUGCGCCAUUGAUCAUUGGCCAGUGCUUGUUGGAUUGUGUUUGGUUCAAUGUAGGGAGAAAGUUCAAAAUGGAACGCUACGAGUCUCUCAUGUGUCAUCUAAGGAUCAACUCUCAGAUGGCUUAACCAAACCUCUAUCAAAAACUCGGUUUGGAACACUGUUUACCAAGAUUGGUAUCACUAACCGUGCACCAUCUUGAGGGAGGAUAUUAGAAUAACUAUGUUAUUAAGAUAAUGAUAACUUCGUGUAUUAGAGAUAAGUCCUAUACUUAAUAAGGAUGACCUAUGUAUAUCGUCUCCUAUGAUCUUUCCCUGUAAACUAUAUAUAUAAAGUACAUAUUAUGAUCAAUAAUACUCAAGCAAUUACAAUACUUCUUGUAGCGAAUUAGACCAAUCCGCUUGUAUUCCUUGUUGGAUCACAUAAUGGGCGUAGAAUGUGUAGAAUUGAAAAAAUCGUCCAAUCAAUAAUGCGUAGCGCCUAGCGGCUACUCCAUUAUUCCUUAGUGAUAUCUAAUUUGGCUCAAACCCAAAACAAUCAUGAUAUCCAAAUUUGCCCAAAACCCAAGCUAAUAAUUAAUCUCAAACCCAAAUCAAACCAUUUUAUGUACAAUUAUAUUUUUGUUAUAUAAUUUAGUAUAUAUUUACAAAUUUAUGAAUCUGAGUACCACUGAUCUUUUGUAAUAAACAUAUAUUAUACAUACAAAGUUUGUAUUAGAUGUAUAUAUGGAGUAUUAUACAUAAAAGUACAAAACAUUGGGGAAAUUAUGCUUUUACCCAAUUUUUUGUUUCAUUAUUCAUGUUUACGAUGGGCUUUUUUACAAAUACCUAAAUUAUGAGGUUUGAUUAAAGGACCGAAAGACCUUUCUAUCUUUGUUUUAUAGAUAUAUAAAUAUAAAUAAUUAUUUAAAUAAAUAAUAAAAGAUAAAAAGUUAUAGUUUUUGAAUUAUAUAUAUGUUACCAAAGUCAAAUUUUUUUAUCACUUUUUCGAAAUUUAUUCAAAUUUGUGUUUUUCAAAAAAAAAAUUGAAAUCCAAAAAAAAAUUUAAACUAUUUUAAAAUUUUUAUUUUAAAUUUAAGUAUUUGUUAAAAAAAAUUUUUUAACCCUACCAUUCAAAAUCCCACCCCUCAAAUUUAAAUCACAAGUAUAGAUUACUUAACUUUAUGGAUAUAAGUGUUUAUUUAUCUGUCAACACUAAAGGUAAAUAUGAUUAAGGUAAACAUGAAAAAUAGUAUUAAGAAUGUCGUAGUUUAAGUAAUUUUUCCAAAAAUUCCUCUCUGCGUACUCCACAAUUUUUUUCCGCUUUUCAUAACUCGCUAGGUCGGGUGCACCGCACAUGUAGUACCCAACGAAUUUCUGAACAAAGGUUAUAUACUAUAAUCAUAAUAAAAUAUUAUAUACAGUAAAAAUAUGUUGUUAAAAAUACAAAAUAGCUUAUCUUAAUUAUCAGUUAGUUUUAUCCAGAUAGUAGAACUGAAUUUUUAUUUAAUUAUAAAAAUUUCAAUUGUAGUCUGAUUAUUAAGUUACUUCUUUCUUAGCUAUAUGUCUUAUCUUACAAUACUAAAAUGGCUUAAUAUUCAGCUCUCAGCGUGUCCAAGUCAUCUUUAAAAAUCGUCCAAUCAUAUACUUAUAUUUUGCCAUGUCACUACUGUUUCUGCCGAGUUAAGAUCAAAACUAAACUUAGUUUGGGCUGCCAUUACUUUUCUUUACAGUCCAUAGCAAUCCCAAUCUCGCCCAACCCUAAUUUUGUCUGGAGCGUACGAGUUGAUCAUCUCCUACUCUUCCACUUCGUCUUCACCUUCUCGGUUGCUCUGUAAUCUCCGUUACCGCUUGCUCCUCUUGAUCAAUCAAUGCCUCUUUAUCUCUUAGUUAUUGUUUCCUUCUACCUUCCUCGCUUUUUCCUCAUAUAUAAAUUGCUAAACAGCUUCAUCGAGGCUUACUUCAAAGUAAACCCGAAAGUCUCCAUUGUUUUGUCGUCAACUUCAGCCGGAGACAUCGUCGGUUUGAUAUCCUGCGUCAAAGUCGCCGCCAGAACGUUAUAGGAAUCAGACGAAGUUGACCACCAAAUUUCUGGAGAAGUGCGCCACAAGAACCAUAUAUAAGCAGAAAGGCAUUCGCUGCUCAGACGCUCCGGCGAAGUCCACCACCGGUUCCAUCGAUAAGGGACUAGCUACUCUGGCGCUCCUCCAAAUUCACCGGCUGUUAUAUACUUCACCUAUGUUACUUCCGAUUUGGAACCUGUAAUCCUGCUUAAGCAGGCAUAUUAAUUUGUGUUUAGUUGCUGAAUAUUGACGAACAUGUAUUUUUUUUGUUAUAUUCGUCACUGCUACAUUCAAUUACAGGGAACUGUGAUCCAAAGUUUUUUUGCCACCAAAUCGUGUGAGAUGCUACCAAAGUCUUCUCAAGCGUGGGAGAUUUUUACAGUCUCUCCAAUUACUUCGAUACUAAGAACAAAGAAAUCUUUCUGAUGACUGAUCACAAUCUGACUAUUUGUUUCACCCACAACUCUGUCCUCUCAAAUAUUGAAGGUUACUUACCUCACAUAGACACACAUCGGUUUCGCUUUCAUUUCUUUGGAGCCAAAAUUGGUCGUUGACGUUAUCUAUAUGAUUUUGUUGGCCACAGGAAAUUAAUCAAUAGGCAGCACCCUAAGAGCAUCCAAUUCUCAAGGGUUUGAAUGGAUAGUUGUGACAGAUCACCAACAGAAGUUCCUUCUCAGUCACUUGAAAUCAUGACUACCAAAGUUUAACUGUCCAUUAUGAGAUUGUUGCCAAUUAUAUUGACCUAAAGAUAAUGCCUUAUUGGAAGGGUUAUGACUGAUGGUAGACUAAGUGCAAGAGUAAAAGCUUACUUAACUGAAAAUUUUAUCUUCAAGGCAUGCUCAGGUAAGUGCUACCACCGUCUAACCUUAUAUCUCCACAUCUCAGUGAUGGGCAUUGGUCCAUUAAAAUAGUUUAGUUCUGCAAUUUUAUAUGUCAUCAGAUGUUUCUUACAUGCUGAAAGGUUCCCAUACAAUUAUUUUUUUGCUAAUGCUCCCGUAUUCAAGUCCAUUCUAAAUGAUAUAUAUAUAUAUAUAUAUAUAUAUAUAUAUAUAUAUCAUGGCGAGUGCAAAUUUUUUUACGAUAAGGCACUCUGGGUAAUCAAGAAGAGAAGGUACAUAUACGUUAGUUUCGAUUUGAAGAUGUUGUUGACUGUUUUGUUGAUCGCAUAUUAUGAUUUUCUUCCUUUGCUAAUGAAAGGGAUGCUUUGAUUUCAUUGCAGAGAUGGUUUCACCUAUGGCUUAGACGAGAAGAGAGGAAAACCGCUUUCUCUGGUAAUCGAACGUUGCCUUUAUUUUUGUUUAGUCGCACACACGUUAACAGUGUGAUAGUGGUGCAUGAAAAGAAAUACAGCUUGGAGGAGUUGCAGAUAAUGGUCGAUGAUAUGGACUAUGGAUUACGACUUACCAUCAGAACCGUUAGUCGGAGAGUUCUUUGAUUAUAACGUUGGGAUGGGGUUGAAAUCAGAGGAUUUAUGUAAUGGAGAGAAGGGUUAGGCUGAUAAUUUGAAUCCUUGGUGUGGCUCAACAUUGUCGUUGAUGUAUACAUGGGAAGAACCUCAGCAGAUAGAUUGUUGAGAGCCGUUGCAGUGUGCUUCGUGGUUUGAAAACAGCUGUUCCAUAUGAUUAUCUUGACUUGAGUUCUGGUAACGAUUGGGAUCAAGUUUUUAAGAAAGCGGAAGAGGAGUUUCAGAAAGAGAAUUAGAGGUCGGAUGAAGUUGUUUGAGCCUUUUUUUUUCUACUUCAUCUUCCUCUUUAAAGUGUUAUCCCCAUGUUCUUAAAGUUGUAACCUUGAUUGUCUUUGUUGUGCCUCUUUGUUACUUUUUGGCAUUAUUUAUUUUCUAAGCAAUGGACCAGUACGAUCCAGUUUGGUUUAAGAUGUUUGAAUUAUACCACAAUUAAAAACAAGGUUUAAGAAAGAAGCUGUAGACAGUUGAUGUAAGAACAUUUGAGAUUCUGAAGUUGUCUGUAUAUCACAAAUCCCUCUCUUUUUAACAUAUUUCUGCACAUGCCGAGGCAAAGAAAAAGAUAAAAAAGGUUGUUCUUUUUUUUUAGAUUUAAAAGAACUAUAAAAUAUUAAAAUAAGUUAGAAAGAAGAUAUCAGUUCUUAUCAGUUCCAUGAAUCUAAGGAUAACAUUGUAUCCUAGUAUAAUUUCUGAUAAUAAAAAGAACUAAUUUCAUGGCUCAACUAUAUCAUUUAUGAGUAGAUUUGAGGAUAGAAUAAUAUGCUUUCAAAUUUAUAGUCAAAAUUACAUUUCUGACUCUACGAUAUAAUCGAAAUCAAUAAUUUUGACACACAUCUGAUAGAUAAACCACAUAAAACCACCUUUAAAUCACCAGCUAAAAAUAUAUAUUUGAUUCUUUACAUUUUUUUAUUAAAUUUCCGUUAAACUCCUUUCAAAUACCACUGCUAUAUAUUCCAUUUAAUAUUAUACACCACAUAAUUCACUAAAAUUUAAAUGAUUUUAGAAAUAUGGUUAUAGAUACUUUAAUCCAAUUACAUAACAUUUUAAGGAAUUUUUAAAAUACAUAAUUGAAAUAACAUUAGAAUUUAAUGUUUUCCCAAAUUUAAUUGGAACUUCUAGAUCUAGUGCAUUUGCCUAAAAUCAUAUUCGAUUUAAUUCGAUUUAUUUAAACCCAUAGAAUUAUAUUAUUUUUUUCAGAAAUAGUGAGAAUUUCUUAUCUCUCUCAGUAUUUCUCUCAAUUCAAAAUCCAUGAUUUGAAUUGAUGUCCUUUCAUUUAUUAUUAAAAUAAAUUACAAAAUUAUUUAUUAUUUAUUAUUAAAAUAAAUUGCAAAAUUAAAUUAAUCUGUAUACUUUCUAUCAUUUUUGUUUAAUUAUUUUUGUUGUAUUUUAAAUUUUUCAAAACGAGUAUAAAUUACUAAAACUGAUAAAAGUCUCACAUAAACUUUUGUGAUCAAAGUUUAAAAUUUUUCUAUAAUAAGAUACAAAGAUUAUAAAAUCAUAUGAAUAAAUAAUUUUAUUUUAAUAGGUGUUUAUGUUAAUAUAUAUAUAUAUAUAUAUAUAUAUAUAUAUUUCAUAUCGUUUAAAUUAAACUAUACAUCAUAUGAAAAUACAUAAUUAUAUUUUAAAAUAUGCGUUGAACAUAUAUUGAAAAGUUAAAACAGUUUCAGAUUACAUUUGUGACGGAUUGUUCUCAAUUGCUGAAGGUUUCGGAACCAGAAGAAUUGCCAGCAUUUGAAAGUUAUCUGAAAGACAUCAAGUUUUUACAAAGAAGUUUUCUCAACUCAGACAUUAUUCAUGUACCUCGGACGGAGAACCUACAGGCGGAUAGUUUAGCACACAGUGAAAACAACCGUCUUUCGCCACUCACAUGGAUGUGGAGUUACCGAUUUGGUUUACAGAGUCAAUUUGAGUCUGUGAAUGUCUUGUUGUCAAAAAAAAGUUAAUAUUUUAGUUUUGAAAUCUUCAUUGUUUUUUUAAAUGAUUAUAAAUUAUUGAGACCACUAAACAUUCCACAUUAAAAAACAAAUCGUUGGUGUAAACUUUUGUUACACAAUAUGCAAAUAAUCAUAAAAUCAUAUGAGUAGAAACCUUAUUUAAUAAAUAAACAUAUUAAAAGUAUAUUGUAUAUAUAUAUAUAUUUAUGUCAAUAUCAUUUAAAUUUAAUUAUAUAUCAUAUAUGAUAGGUAAGAUUGAUUGUUUUGAUUUAUUUACCCUAAAAUGAUUGCGAAUAAACAAGAGUAGUCGUUUGAUUUAUAUGCACACACCAAUUUAUUACAUAACAGUAACUGAUUUCUUAGUUAUUUAAUAUAUAAUUAUUAUUUUAUUAUUUCAUAAUACGCAGAAAAACAUAAAAUAAGUAAUAAAUAUAAAAUAUUUAUUAUGCACAAGGCGCAUAUCUUAACCUAAGUAUAUAUCUCUUUAAUAAUUUUAAAUUUUAAACAUUUUUUAAAUCUGAGGCCAAAACAAAAUAACGAAAUGAGAAUAAAUUCAAAAAUCAACAUUUAUAUCAACAAUAAUCAAAAUGAAAAAAACGACAAAAAA
Molecule: long non-coding RNA, 6775 nt
Organism: Brassica rapa (field mustard)
Lineage: Eukaryota; Viridiplantae; Streptophyta; Magnoliopsida; Brassicales; Brassicaceae
Source: RefSeq, a predicted model, not a curated record